AGCGAACGCUGGCGGCGUGCUUAACACAUGCAAGUCGAGUGCGCGUCUGUAGCAAUACAGAUGGCGCACGGCGCACGGGUGCGUAACACGUGGGCAAUCUGCCCUUCGAUGGGGAAUAACUCCGGGAAACCGAAGCUAAUUCCGCAUAACAUUCCCUGAACCUCGGUUUGGGGAUUCAAAGCCGUAAGGCGUCGGAGGAGGAACCCGCGCACGAUUAGCUAGUUGGUAGGGUAACGGCCUACCAAGGCUUUGAUCGUUAGCUGGCCUGAGAGGAUGGCCAGCCACACUGGAACUGAGACACGGUCCAGACUCCUACGGGAGGCAGCAGUGGGGAAUCUUGCACAAUGGGCGAAAGCCUGAUGCAGCGACGCCGCGUGGGGGAUGAAGCUUUUCGGAGUGUAAACCCCUUUCGACCCGGACGAAUACCUCGCAAGAGGGGUGACGGUACGGGUAUAAGAAGCCCCGGCUAACUACGUGCCAGCAGCCGCGGUAAGACGUGGGGGGCCAGCGUUGCUCGGAAUUACUGGGUGUAAAGGGUUCGUAGGCGGUGUAGCAAGUCGGGAGUGAAAUCUCUGGGCUCAACCCAGAGACUGCUUCCGAAACUGCUGUGCUUGAGUGUGGGAGAGGCGCGUGGAAUUGCAGGUGUAGCGGUGAAAUGCGUAGAUAUCUGCAGGAACACCCGUGGCGAAAGCGGCGCGCUGGACCACUACUGACGCUGAGGAACGAAAGCUAGGGGAGCAAACAGGAUUAGAUA
RNAcentral lists this ribosomal RNA (754 nucleotides) under uncultured bacterium. RNAcentral describes it as "bacterial SSU rRNA". It matches the Rfam family "Bacterial small subunit ribosomal RNA", at positions 28 to 784 of the family's 1533-position model. The record is from RNAcentral.